CAUUAAGAAGCUAUGAAACAGCAUUAGCCUUUUAAGCUAAAGAGAGAGGGAAAUCCCUCCUUAAUGA
RNAcentral lists this transfer RNA (67 nucleotides) under Phylloscopus tenellipes (pale-legged leaf-warbler). Its description in RNAcentral is "tRNA-Lys". It matches the Rfam family "tRNA". Rfam says of the family: Transfer RNA (tRNA) molecules are approximately 80 nucleotides in length. Their secondary structure includes four short double-helical elements and three loops (D, anti-codon, and T loops). Further hydrogen bonds mediate the characteristic L-shaped molecular structure. tRNAs have two regions of fundamental functional importance: the anti-codon, which is responsible for specific mRNA codon recognition, and the 3' end, to which the tRNAs corresponding amino acid is attached (by aminoacyl-tRNA synthetases). tRNAs cope with the degeneracy of the genetic code in two manners: having more than one tRNA (with a specific anti-codon) for a particular amino acid; and 'wobble' base-pairing, i.e. permitting non-standard base-pairing at the 3rd anti-codon position. The record is from RNAcentral. Lineage: Eukaryota; Metazoa; Chordata; Aves; Passeriformes; Phylloscopidae. RNAcentral also lists the same sequence under 1 other name.